RNAcentral lists this ribosomal RNA (253 nucleotides) under uncultured bacterium. RNAcentral describes it as "partial 16S ribosomal RNA". It matches the Rfam family "Bacterial small subunit ribosomal RNA", at positions 524 to 776 of the family's 1533-position model. The record is from RNAcentral.
UACGUAGGGUGCAAGCGUUGUCCGGAAUUAUUGGGCGUAAAGGGCUCGUAGGCGGUCCAUCGCGUCGGGAGUGAAAAGCUGGGGCUUAACCCCAGUCCUGCUUCCGAUACGGGUGGACUAGAGGUAGGUAGGGGAGAUCGGAAUUCCUGGUGUAGCGGUGAAAUGCGCAGAUAUCAGGAGGAACACCAAUGGCGAAGGCAGCUCGCUGGAACGGAACUGACGCUGAGGCGCGAAAGCGUGGGGAGCGAACAGG